CAGGAUGAACGCUAGCUACAGGCUAACACAUGCAAGUCGAGGGGCAGCAUGGAGUUGCUGCAAACUCUGAUGGCGACCGGCGCACGGGUGAGUAACGCGUAUCCAACCUUCCCUAUAGUAGAGGAUAGCCCGGCGAAAGUCGGAUUAAUACUCUAUGUUUUCCGUUGCAGACAUCUAAGAUGGAACAAAGGCUUGCCGCUAUAGGAUGGGGAUGCGUCUGAUUAGGUAGUCGGCGGGGUAACGGCCCACCGAGCCAUCGAUCAGUAGGGGUUCUGAGAGGAAGGUCCCCCACAUUGGAACUGAGACACGGUCCAAACUCCUACGGGAGGCAGCAGUGAGGAAUAUUGGUCAAUGGACGAGAGUCUGAACCAGCCAAGUUAAGCGUGCAGGACGACGGCCCUAUGGGUUGUAAACUGCUUUUAUGCGGGGAUAAAGUUCACUACGUGUAGUGUUUUGUAGGUACCGCAUGAAUAAGGACCGGCUAAUUCCGUGCCAGCCGCCGC
Molecule: ribosomal RNA, 503 nt
Filed under: uncultured bacterium
Lineage: Bacteria
Description: bacterial SSU rRNA
Rfam family: Bacterial small subunit ribosomal RNA
Source: RNAcentral